Molecule: long non-coding RNA, 1353 nt
Organism: Panicum virgatum (switchgrass)
Lineage: Eukaryota; Viridiplantae; Streptophyta; Magnoliopsida; Poales; Poaceae
Exons: 3
Source: RefSeq, a predicted model, not a curated record
CCCAACAUUUCGGCCCAGAGGGCGUAUCGUCGCACAGGGGUUCUUCUCUUUCUUCUCUCCUUUCUCUUCUCUUCCGUUCUCCAGCUGCAUUUCCUUCCUCUCACUCUCCCGAGUGUUCUUCUCGGGGUUCCUUCCGGCCGCGCCCUCGUCGGAGUCCUCCCUUCUCUAGGGGAUUCCGUCGAGUUUCGCUUCCUCCCGGAUUCGUCUUCGACUCCUAGUUACAGACUUACCAUGCGCUUGCGCUGGAAGCAUAACGAGGGCGGCCCAUCGGCGGUGAGAUGGACGGGGGCGGAGAGGACGGGAAGCAGCAGCCUCACCUGGUGCUGGCGCACAAGCUGUUCCUGCUGUCACACCCCGAUGUCGACAACCUCGCCAAAGAUCGACCUCCACGUCGACGUUCUCACGGCAAUCAAAUACGGCGAUAGUACCAGCGCCGUGCCUCCUCCUUUCCUCGAAUACGGCUUCUGAUUGCCGAUGGGAUCUGGGAUUUGAUCUGAUUGGUAUGUUUGGUACAGACAUGGCGGCGCUAUACGAGUCGUUGGCGGCCGACGGCAUGCUGGAGAUGGACGCGGCGCUGCUGGCCAAGAUGUGCGCCAGGAUUGACGAGAUCCGGAAGUUCAACGAGAAAAACUGUAUACCUGUUCUUGUGUUUGUUUAUGAUUUGUUUGAUUCGAUUUUGUUCAUUUGGUGCUCUUUCUGUAUGUUAUGAUUACCCCAUUAUCAAGUUUUUCUCCUAGUCAUCUGUAUUUGUUGUUUCUUAAUUAAUGAUUUGCAUUUUCCACACUAACAAAUUGUUCCACACUAACAAAUUGUUCCACACUAACAAUUUCUUUCUUUCUUUUUCUUUUUUUCCCUCCCAAAAAGUUCUGGUGGAAUUCUUUUUUCCAUUUGUUUUAAAGGAAUAAUUUUGUUCCAAUAGAACAUUUUUCCGUUUCACUGAUAAGAUUUGAUCCAACUGAACAAAUUUUAGUUUUUGUUCUGACGGAACUUUUUUUUUUAUUCUACUAGAACAAUUUGUUCCAGUGGAACAAUUUGAUCCAAAUGAUCAAAUUUUAGUUUUUGCUCUAAUGGAAUAUUUUUUAUUCUAGUGGAACAAUUUAUUCCAGUGGAAUAAUUUUAUUCUAUUUUGUUCCAGUGGAACAAUUUGUUUCAAUCACAGGGGGCGUUAGCCCAAACUAAUUAUCCCAAAUAACUACUAAAAUAUUCUUCAAGACUACAGUGUAUACAAAAUUUCUUUCUUUUUUUUCUCCCCCAAAAAGUUCUGGUGGAACACUUUUUUCCAUUUGUUUUGAAGAAAUGACUUUGUUCCAAUAGAAACAUUUUUCCGUCCCAAUGAUAAGAUUUGAUCCAACU